Molecule: ribosomal RNA, 485 nt
Filed under: Starmerella bacillaris
Lineage: Eukaryota; Fungi; Ascomycota; Dipodascomycetes; Dipodascales; Trichomonascaceae
Description: partial large subunit ribosomal RNA
Rfam family: Eukaryotic large subunit ribosomal RNA
Source: RNAcentral
GGCAAGGGUUGCCUAGUAACGGCGAGUGAACAGGCAAGAGCUCAGAUUUGAAAGGCACUUUUGUGCCGUUGUAUUCUGAAGUUAGGGUCCUGAGAAACGAUGCUUAAGUCUUCUGGAAAGGAGCGCCAUGGAGGGUGAUAGCCCCGUCUAGCAUUGACCUCAUAUAGGAUCUUAACAUGGAGUCGAGUUGUUUGGGAAUGCAGCUCAAAUGGGUGGUAUGCUCCAUCUAAAGCUAAAUAUCUGCGAGAGACCGAUAGUAAACAAGUACUGUGAGGGAAAGAUGAAAAGAACUUUGAAAAGAGAGUGAAAAAGUACGUGAAAUUGUUGAAAUGGAAGGGUAGGCCGCUAACCAUGUAGAGCCGUGUUUGGGGGGAAGAUAAAUGCUGUAGAAUGUAGCUCCUCGGAGUAUUAUAGAUGCAGUUCAUAUUCCCACCCGAGCGCGAGGAUCUCAGGUUCUACUAAAUGGUGGUCUACCACCCGUCUUG